GGAGGAGGAGGAGGACUUCCGCUGCCAUAAUAUAGUGUAUAGACAAACCUAUUUUUAGCUCAGUUUCCCUUAUUUUGAGGAGUUUCAUUAAUGUGUACAAGUCGCUAUCAAUUAGAUUUUUACUUCAACAUCGUCUUCUCCCGGUGCUUCUGAGGGUGGUGGGGUAUCUAGACAGUGAUAGCGCGUCACUAGUGGUUCCCUGGGUCGUCCCACAUACCGCCAGCCUAUUAGUGGGGCGUGGGGCGUGGGGCGUGAGUGCUUCCUUAUAAAAGAUACAAGAGGAGUCUGCCGCAGGCGUUAGUCUCGUCUCAACGACACCUGAGGUAACGCACAGUCACGGGAACACGUACACCACAAGACCACGACGAUAAGAUCAACCAAGACGCACACCUAACGCCCUGCCACCCACCCAGCACAGGACACGUGGACUUUACUUGUGACACUAUGAGACCUGGGAGAACAUUGUGGCGGACAGCAGCUGUGGUGAUUGUAGCCGAGGCGGUGUGGUGUUCCGUGGCCCUUGCCUCAAACACCCUUCAGGAGGCCGACACAAGUCUCUAUACCACGACAAAGACGGAAGCGCUCGGAUGGUGGGAGGACGGCAGCAGAAGGCACACAGGGGGCACCACAGCACGACACGCUAAAGAUACGAGUACACGAGAGGAGCAGGAUAACACUGUCCUUGAUGUACCUGAUGUCCUAACCUCUGCGAGUCACCUGCAGCACCUUCAGGAGAAUAUGGUUGACGACGAACCAGUGGGCGGUUGAGGGCAAGCGGGCAGGGUACGGCGAAGGACGAAAACUGGAGGAGAACACUAAAGAAAACGAAGUGCAGGUGGAGGAGAUGGAUGAGGAAGGGAGGUUGUUCUUCACAGGUUUAACAGGCUUGACUGGAAACCAACAGGUGUCAAUCAGCGUGAGCGGUUUGUGGGCGGCCAUCAUGUGGAUUGUGUUCAUGGUGGGUGCUCAUCAAGCUCCUCAUCUACGUCAUCACCGGCAAGAGCUCCACCUACUGGGGGGCGAUGGGUUCAGCUCCGCCUUCGGUGACGACUAUUACUACGACCCGUACCACUCCACCUACACCACCUACCGCGCCUUCGACGACCACGCCAGGAAGUACAACUAGUAACGGGGACACACACACACACACACACACACACACACACACACACACACACACACACACACACACACACACACACACACACACACACACACACGAUACAAUUUGGAGUAUGCAAAAAGACAACUGAGCUGAGUGCUUUACAAAGUCGUGGUAUUUUUAAUAUUAGUAUGAUUAGUGUGAUUGUUAUUUAUAUGUUUGUUUGUUUGUUGUUGUUGUUGUUUCUGAGUAUAGUAAUGUUUCUGUACUUUUAUAGGUAUGUAAAUAUUGUGGAGUAGUGAUAUUUAAUUUAUGUUGUAUAGCUUAAGAGUUAACAUAGAGAAGUGCA
Molecule: long non-coding RNA, 1451 nt
Organism: Scylla paramamosain (green mud crab)
Lineage: Eukaryota; Metazoa; Arthropoda; Malacostraca; Decapoda; Portunidae
Exons: 3
Source: RefSeq, a predicted model, not a curated record